This 79-nucleotide ribosomal RNA is filed under the name Pectobacterium actinidiae. RNAcentral's name for it is "Pectobacterium carotovorum subsp. actinidiae partial 16S ribosomal RNA". It matches the Rfam family "Bacterial small subunit ribosomal RNA", at positions 1 to 76 of the family's 1533-position model. Lineage: Bacteria; Pseudomonadati; Pseudomonadota; Gammaproteobacteria; Enterobacterales; Pectobacteriaceae. The record is from RNAcentral.
CUUAAAUUGAAGAGUUUGAUCAUGGCUCAGAUUGAACGCUGGCGGCAGGCCUAACACAUGCAAGUCGAGCGGUAGCACA